CCUGGCAAUGAUGUUAGAGCUACAGUGCUGCUUUAGAAGACUACUGCUUAUGAGAAGGGUCUGACAAAGUUAGAUGAGCCUGAAGUUCUCAGGGAUUCAUUUUCCUGCAUGUGGGCUCCAACCAAAAGUGUACAGGAAAGUGACAUUUGAGAUUGAAGUGCUAGUGGGAUGGCAAAAGAAGCUGCAAGAGAAAACAGGCUCCUAGGAGGUGUCUGGAGCCAAAAGAAUUGGGAGUAAAAGUUCGCACCUUUUAAUUGCGUGUUGGCAAUUGCUGUGUUUUUUUGCUAUGCUCUUGGUGAAAUGGGAGAAGAGAUGGACAAAGUUUUCUGAGAGUUAAAGUACAAGUUAAGACAGAAAAAAGGUAGGGAGGCAGGGGGACAGCAGCGUGCUCAAAUGUUUCCUGGAAAAUACUUGUGCAGAAAGAAGGAAGCAAAGAGUCAGCAGAGGACAGACCAAAAGACAAGCUGUGAUGGCUGAGGGGGAAACACUCUUGGAAAAACCAACUUCCUCUCAUACAAGAACUUAAAAUCUAAAUGCUCCGUUCUUCUUGUAGAUGCUGAAGAAGUUGGGGUAUUUACUGUAGACAUGAGAUGCUGGGAUGGAUUUCAUGGUGAUGAUGUCCAUGGCAGGAGCUCUGAACUGAUUUCUCUUUCACAGCCUCAUGCACACAUAAAAAAAAGUUAAUGUAGGCCACUCCUACUUCUCUGAGAAAUCAUGGGGAAGAGGGCUGUCACUCUGCCAAGUUCCUGAGUUCUAUGAUCUUUGUUGUACCUGGCCUUUGUGCAGACCACAAAGGGUUUUUCUUUUUCUCGUGCUUGUGUAACUCUGUGUUGCCUGGAACAGCUGAGAAUCCUUGACAUAUAUGGCUGCAAGUCAAAGGUUCUUUUCGUAUAAAAGAUGAUUCUCUGUAAGGAUAAGUGGCAACGUACUGUAUUUGCAUCUUAUCAGCCACU
Long non-coding RNA from Lagopus leucura (white-tailed ptarmigan), 953 nucleotides. RefSeq lists it as uncharacterized. Lineage: Eukaryota; Metazoa; Chordata; Aves; Galliformes; Phasianidae. The record is from RefSeq and is a predicted model, not a curated record. The transcript has 3 exons.